Molecule: long non-coding RNA, 434 nt
Organism: Trachemys scripta elegans
Lineage: Eukaryota; Metazoa; Chordata; Testudines; Emydidae
Exons: 3
Source: RefSeq, a predicted model, not a curated record
AAACUCACCAGUGUAUAGUACUUCAUAUGGUCACGGUGCUAAUUAACUAAAUACUGCUCAUAACUCCAGAGUGAGGUGGUUCAGGUAGAUCGGGAUUGCCAUAUUGGAUCAGACCAUGAUCCAGUCCAGCAUCUUGUCACCACAGUGGCCAGUACUAGAUAUUUCAGAGGAAGAUGCAAUAAAAUCUGCAAUUAUGGAGUAACCUGUGCACAGUGGAUGUUUCCUUCUAAUCUCCAUUUGUCAGAGGUAGUAUUAAGCAGCUCCUUUUAGCUGGCUCAUAGAAGACAUUUAAAAAUAAGGAAUAUACCUUUGAAAGGCAAACAUGAUUGUUACACACAGAUGCACCCCAGAACAGCAAUCCCAAAACACCACCAACAACAACGAAAAGCAAGACACACAGUUAGGUGAUUUUCCUGAUGACAGUCCUGGAAUGG